RNAcentral lists this ribosomal RNA (241 nucleotides) under uncultured bacterium. RNAcentral's name for it is "partial 16S ribosomal RNA". It matches the Rfam family "Bacterial small subunit ribosomal RNA", at positions 796 to 1041 of the family's 1533-position model. The record is from RNAcentral.
CACGCCGUAAACGAUGAAUGCUAGGUGUUGGGGAAACUCAGUGCCGCAGUUAACACAAUAAGCAUUCCGCCUGGGGAGUACGACCGCAAGGUUGAAACUCAAAGGAAUUGACGGGGACCCGCACAAGCAGCGGAGCAUGUGGUUUAAUUCGAUGCAACGCGAAGAACCUUACCAAGGCUUGACAUCCCUCUGAAGUAUAUAGAGAUAUAUACGGCUUUUAGGAGACAGAGGAGACAGGUGG